CUCAACUGACCGAGCCACCCAUGAGCCCCUAUCAUGAAGAACUUCCAACCAGACUUAAUUAUACAGCAUCCUUAACAUCAAGGUUCUUUUAAAAUCUGGUUCAAAUAUUCUUUUCAGAAUAUAACUUUAUGUUCUGGUUCCUCAAUAUAUCUACCACAUGAUAUUUACAUUAUUAAAUGUUUAACUCUAUUACAAAAAUUAUAUGUAACCUCCAAAAGAUAUAGUUCUUGGGCUUUUUUUUUUUUUUUUUUUUUUACUGAUUUCAAAGACAGUUUUUAAAAGUAUUUUAAAAUACUGCUCAUUGACGGUAAGAGUUUUUUGGAAUUAAAACGUAUGCCCUAUUUACCUGAGGCCAUUGCACUUUUCCCAGCAUCCUUGCAGCUCACUAUGACUGUGCUGGAGACACACAGCAAGUGUGGCCUGGGAAUUACCUCCCAAGUAGAGCCUUUCAUGCAAUUCUCCAACCCUGUCUCCUCCCUGAGGCCUUUUCUCUGAGCGCUGACACAUAGAAAAGUUCUGAGUCACCAGAUGUCUGUGCUGAGCAGAGAGAGCCUCUUCUCCUCCCUCGCCACUGUUGGACCUUUACGCAAACAAGACAGAAACCUCUGUUUCAUAAAUCCAUUCAAUGUCGUGUUUUGUUUUGUUUUGUUUUUUAACAGCAGUAAACCUCAGUUGACUGAUUCAGAAGCCAAGUAAAACGAUCAAUGAGAUCCUCUUUCUAUAUCGGUUCCUGAGAAAGGGUUCGUUCCUCAGGAAACACAUCGAAGCAAAGAUCUGCUGGCAGAAGAUGAUAACUGCAUGAGAGCCUCGAUAAACCUCUUUUUCAAGUUCAGGAUGAGCCUACAAAUUCUAUGUUGUCAUGCAGUCUUGGAAUCCACUGUCCAGAGCUGUGGCUCAACACUAGACGACAAGACCGGAAGGUGAACAUGUACUCUGGAUGCUCCAAGUCAUCUACGCCGUAUGCCCCAGAUUGUGUUACAACAGCUCUACACAGAUGUUUCUGAUGCUGAAAGCCCUCUGUCACCCAUGCCUGUUUAAACUCUAAAAAUGAGAGCAUGAGAGAUUCAAGGAAGGGAACUUGGUGCCACAUCAUACUCAAGCAAAUCUGAUGAAGGAAGGAUGAUAAGGACUAUGGAUAUAUUAUCGACGCCUCUCAGGUGCUGCUUCAGAUUCCCGUUUUACCUAUUUUUGGAGCCCUUGACGCUUUGCUCAUCUCUGGCUGCUACUUGGGUGUUCCACUCCCCAUGCAAGCUGUCAGAUGCAAACUGGAACUCUCUUAUCGGCAAACACUGACCAGUGGAGGAUGGAAGAAACACAAAGAAAAGCCCCUCUCCUUUUCUCCUUUUAUGUCCAUUUUGGAGCAUUGUGUCUGUUCUAUACCCUAUCUGCUGAUGUAGCAAGUAACAGGGGGAACAUUCUUGUCUCUCCAUGAAGCAAGGCCUUCUGGUUAAUCCUUAUGCCUUUGUUUCUCACUCUUCCUUGUCCUAUAUUUUUUUAUGCUGCUCUGGAAUUUCUCAAAGUGUCAGCAUUCAAAAAAAUUUGAAAAAUGUAUUCUGCAAUGUCCAGUAUUGAAAUAGAACAGAGAUAGACUUAUUGUACUUUAGUCAAAUUACUUUGGGACUUCUUCUUUUCUAAAAGCAGAGGAAUGAGAGGUAUUCCAUUUGGCCUAUAGCCAAACCUGCAUAAAUAAGGAUAUUCACUCUAAAACGAAGUGGUUAGACUUGAUUAUCUCUCAGUCUCUUCCAGCAUCUUUCUGUUUAUUAAAAUGUGGUCAAACUUGAAGAUUCAGGACUCAACAACUAUUCUCAGAACUUGAAUUAAAAGAACACUUGAAACUUGCAUUUUGUAUUCUCAAUGCAGUAUCUCCUAGUAAAAUUAUGAGAAUUCCUAAGAGAAAUGAUACUCUUUAAGUGGUUCUAAUUAUGAAAAGCAAUAGAGUUUACAACACUGUAUCCUGUAAAGCAAGUUCUGCCAGGAGAGUUGAUAAAAUGUGGAGUUAGAAAGUUAAUUACUGACAGUUCAGGCGUAUUUGGACUUUGGCUGUAUAGUUAAAAUUCCACAUGUGGAUACACAGGAAAAUAUUCUCAAGAGAAAAUUCAGAAAUAGGAAUAUUGUGAGACCUUCUUGGCUAAUGGAAAUACAGGGUCUCUAUCUUCAGAAUAAGACAAUAUUUUUAAGGGGCCCCUGGGUGGCUCAGUUGGUUAAGCAUCCGACUUCAGCUCAGGUCAUGAUCUCACAAUUUGUGGUUCGAGCCCUGCAUGAG
Molecule: long non-coding RNA, 2263 nt
Organism: Leopardus geoffroyi (Geoffroy's cat)
Lineage: Eukaryota; Metazoa; Chordata; Mammalia; Carnivora; Felidae
Exons: 3
Source: RefSeq, a predicted model, not a curated record